AACAAACCCAGGAUACAAAUAUUGUUAAAUAAAGACAGAGCACACCAGGGACCCUAGGAGAGAAAAGGCCGAGAGCUGUGGGCAGAGACCAGUGGUGACUGAUAAGGCAUCCCGUGGGCCUUCCUUGACAUGGGUGGCCUGGAAGGGAGGAGAUCUGGACAGAGAAAGUGAUGCAGAGUAAACGGAGCAGAGGAGUAUUUCACCAACAUCUUUGAAUUAGAGAGAGGCAAGAGUUACCUGUCAGAGUGGUUCUGGGAAAAGAUGCAGAGCUACCUCAUUGCCAGUAGGGAUCAACAUUUGUCAGUGACUUCUGAAAAAACAAGCAAUCCUCAUGAAACAUAAAUUGUGAGCUGGCCUGGCUUCUCAGUAAUGGAAGAACAGUUUCCUAAAGCAACUGGACAUCCUUCCACCCACCUCCUAGAGCGGCAAGAAUCUGGCCACAGCCAUGCCAUGUAUUUGGAAUAGAGAACGAGAAAACCAGACGAGGAAGGUGACCUCAUGCCCUGCAUGUUCAACAAACCCAGGGGAGGAAACUUGAAGAGAUGACACUUCCUAACUAGACUGCUCUUGAUCUCAACCUCCUCACACCUUUAGCGACGCAUGGCUGAACAGGCAAUGCUGUUCAUGCCACCAGGCUUUGACCUUGAGAUCAAAAAGAAGAAUUCUACCAGCAACCAGGCCCAUAAAAGCCCCAGGCUCAGCCAGAGCUGGGCAGAUGUCAGGAUGACCUGCUGCAGAAAGGAGCUACCCACCUCAGGGCCUCCUCUCUGCUGACAGCUGCAGAGAUUAUGGAAUGACCUGCCUGCAGAGAGGAGCAACCCACUCCAGGACCCCAUCUCUGCUGAGAGCUGCAGACAUGAUGGGAUGACCUGCCUACAGAAAGCAGCAACCCACUCAUGGGUCUCCUAGAUGCUGAACACUCAUUGGGACAACCUGGCUGUGGAAAGGAGCUGCCCCCUGCAGGAGACUGACCUGUUCUCUUGCUCAAUAAAGCUCCUCUUCAUCCUGCUCACCCCACCACUUGUCUGCAUACCUCAUUCUUCUUAGUUGCAGGACAAGACCUCAGGACCCACCAAGUGGCAGGGCCAAACAAG
This is a long non-coding RNA of Pongo pygmaeus (Bornean orangutan), 1094 nucleotides long. RefSeq lists it as uncharacterized. Lineage: Eukaryota; Metazoa; Chordata; Mammalia; Primates; Hominidae. The transcript is spliced from 3 exons. The record is from RefSeq and is a predicted model, not a curated record.